AGCACAAGGGAGUUUACUUCUGAGGUGGCGAGCGGCGGACGGGUGAGUAAUGCCUAGGGAUCUGCCCAGUCGAGGGGGAUAACAGUUGGAAACGACUGCUAAUACCGCAUACGCCCUACGGGGGAAAGGAGGGGACCUUCGGGCCUUCCGCGAUUGGAUGAACCUAGGUGGGAUUAGCUAGUUGGUGAGGUAAUGGCUCACCAAGGCGACGAUCCCUAGCUGUUCUGAGAGGAUGAUCAGCCACACUGGGACUGAGACACGGCCCAGACCCCUACGGGAGGCAGCAGUGGGGAAUAUUGCACAAUGGGGGAAACCCUGAUGCAGCCAUGCCGCGUGUGUGAAGAAGGCCUUCGGGUUGUAAAGCACUUUCAGUAGGGAGGAAAGGGUGUAGCUUAAUACGCUAUAUCUGUGACGUUACCUACAGAAGAAGGACCGGCUAACUCCGUGCCAGCAGCCGCGGUAAUACGGAGGGUCCGAGCGUUAAUCGGAAUUACUGGGCGUAAAGCGUGCGCAGGCGGUUUGUUAAGCGAGAUGUGAAAGCCCUGGGCUCAACCUAGGAAUAGCAUUUCGAACUGGCGAACUAGAGUCUUGUAGAGGGGGGUAGA
This 605-nucleotide ribosomal RNA is filed under the name uncultured bacterium. RNAcentral's name for it is "bacterial SSU rRNA". It matches the Rfam family "Bacterial small subunit ribosomal RNA", at positions 68 to 665 of the family's 1533-position model. The record is from RNAcentral.